This 790-nucleotide ribosomal RNA is filed under the name uncultured archaeon. Its description in RNAcentral is "bacterial SSU rRNA". It matches the Rfam family "Archaeal small subunit ribosomal RNA", at positions 85 to 880 of the family's 1478-position model. The record is from RNAcentral.
ACGGCUCAGUAACACGUCGUUAACCUUCCCUUAGGUCGGGAAUACCCUCGGAAAACUGAGGUUAAAACCCGAUAGGAGAUUAUGUCUGUAAUGAUUUAUCUCUUAAAUUCGUGCCUUAGGAUGGGACGGCGGCGGAUUAGGCUGUUGGCGGGGUAAUGGCCCACCAAACCGAAGAUCCGUACGGGCCUUGAGAGAGGUAGCCCGGAGAAGGACACUGAGAUACUGGUCCUAGCCCUACGGGGUGCAGCAGGCGCGUAACCUCUACAAUGCACGCAAGUGUGAUAGGGGAAUCCCAAGUGCUUAUGCUUUGCAUAGGCUUUUGCCAAGAUUAAAGCUCUUGGCGAAUAAGUGGUGGGAAAGACUGGUGCCAGCCGCCGCGGUAACACCAGCGCCACAAGUGGCAAUCGCGAUUAUUGGGCCUAAAGCGUCCGUAGCCGGUUUAGCAAAUCUUUUGUGAAAUUGUCGGGCUUAACUCGACGAAUGGCAGAAGACACUACUAAACUCGGGACCGGGAGGAGUCAGAAGUAUUCAAGGGGGACCGGUAAAAUGGUAUAAUCCCUUGAGGACUACCGAUGGCGAAGGCAUCUGACCAGAACGGAUCCGACGGUGAGGGACGAAAGCUAGGGUAGCAAACCGGAUUAGAUACCCGAGUAGUCCUAGCUGUAAACGCUGCGAGUUAGGUGUUGCGUAAACUACGGGUUUGCGCAGUGUCGAAAGGAAGCUGUUAAACUCGCCGCCAGGGAAGUACGGUCGCAAGACUGAAACUUUAAGGAAUUGGCGGGGGAGCACA